This 467-nucleotide ribosomal RNA is filed under the name uncultured bacterium. Its description in RNAcentral is "partial 16S ribosomal RNA". It matches the Rfam family "Bacterial small subunit ribosomal RNA", at positions 28 to 507 of the family's 1533-position model. The record is from RNAcentral.
GAUGAACGCUGGCGGCGUGCUUAACACAUGCAAGUCGAACGGAAAGGCUCCUGCUUGCAGGGGUACUCGAGUGGCGAACGGGUGAGUAACACGUGGGUGAUCUGCCCUGCACUUCGGGAUAAGCCUGGGAAACUGGGUCUAAUACCGGAUAGGACCACAUUUUGGAUGGUGUGGUGGAAAGUUUUUCGGUGUGGGAUGAGCUCGCGGCCUAUCAGCUCGUUGGUGGGGUAAUGGCCUACCAAGGCGUCGACGGGUAGCCGGCCUGAGAGGGUGUACGGCCACAUUGGGACUGAGAUACGGCCCAGACUCCUACGGGAGGCAGCAGUGGGGAAUAUUGCACAAUGGGCGCAAGCCUGAUGCAGCGACGCCGCGUGGGGGAUGACGGCCUUCGGGUUGUAAACUCCUUUCGCUAGGGACGAAGCGUUUUUGUGACGGUACCUGGAGAAGAAGCACCGGCUAACUACGUG